RNAcentral lists this long non-coding RNA (789 nucleotides) under Ornithorhynchus anatinus (platypus). Its description in RNAcentral is "lncRNA (ENSOANG00000044529.1)". The record is from RNAcentral. Lineage: Eukaryota; Metazoa; Chordata; Mammalia; Monotremata; Ornithorhynchidae.
AUAACAGACCUCUGCAGGAAGUAAGUCUGGUUUCCCAGUGAAUUAUUGCAAGGCACUCUCUUUAACUACUAGCCCAGACAAAACACUUCCAGACAUCCUCUUUUAUACCCACAGGGAAGGAAGUUCCUUGAGGGCAGAAGCUCCGUCUUCUACUCAGAGUGGGAAUGGAGGGCCGUGGCUCUGCUAGCCCGGGGGCUUCCCCAUCAGGAUUGAGACCAUCAUUCAGCAUCAGGAGUUUCUAACAGGACCGUGGACCAACUGGCACCCAGGAGACCGAUAACCGAUCCAAAAAGAGUUCAAGUGGGUGUGUGGUGUGCAUUUUGUGAACUGGACCGUCUAAAGAUUACAGUAAUCGUUGGACCGAGCAGAGCCUCUUCGGGCAUAAAUAGCAAGACUCCCACCGUCCCCGCUUGAAGACCAACUCAGCCGCCAGAAAAGCAGGUGUCCUCACCUCUGCUGGACUUCGGAGGAAACGGUGAGUGUUCGUGAACGCUCUUCGUAAACGAAAACGCCACCGAUGGGGUCUCUUACAUUUUGCGAUCUUCUCUCAUCGAAAGCCCUCUGUCUUUUUUUCCUCUAUUUUCCAAAUCUAGAAAUUUGAAGAGCUGCCCGAGUCCUCGAAGUCUAAUGCCAGCGUGACUGCGGUUUUAUUGUGUUCAUUUUCCAAUGUUUUCUCCCAGUUCUCUCCAUACAAUACAAAGUUCAUGCAAAAUAUGACAGCUCAAUAAUGAAUUACAGUUGUGAUUCAUUUAACUUUAAAGAGCGUGCCGUAGAACAGCAUCUUCAGAC